RNAcentral lists this ribosomal RNA (461 nucleotides) under uncultured bacterium. RNAcentral's name for it is "partial 16S ribosomal RNA". It matches the Rfam family "Bacterial small subunit ribosomal RNA", at positions 339 to 795 of the family's 1533-position model. The record is from RNAcentral.
CUACGGGCCGCUGCAGUGGGGAAUAUUGCACAAUGGGCGCAAGCCUGAUGCAGCCAUGCCGCGUGUAUGAAGAAGGCCUUCGGGUUGUAAAGUACUUUCAGCGGGGAGGAAGGGAGUAAAGUUAAUACCUUUGCUCAUUGACGUUACCCGCAGAAGAAGCACCGGCUAACUCCGUGCCAGCAGCCGCGGUAAUACGGAGGGUGCAAGCGUUAUCGGAAUUACUGGGCGUAAAGCGCACGCAGGCGGUUUGUUAAGUCAGAUGUGAAAUCCCCGGGCUCAACCUGGGAACUGCAUCUGAUACUGGCAAGCUUGAGUCUCGUAGAGGGGGGUAGAAUUCCAGGUGUAGCGGUGAAAUGCGUAGAGAUCUGGAGGAAUACCGGUGGCGAAGGCGGCCCCCUGGACGAAGACUGACGCAGGUGCGAAAGCGUGGGGAGCAAACAGGAUUAGAUACCCCCGUAGUC